CGGAUACAGAGUCUGUGUGCAGGCAUUCUUUGAAGAAAAAAGCCUGGAAGCCAGGCUUUUCUGGCUUCUCUUCCUGGUGAAGCCGAUCACUGGUCUCAGCUGGCUUUGCACACUGCCUCGUGACUCCAGCCAGAGCCUACUGUGUUUUCAUCGGAGAGCUCUGUGCCCGCUGAGGGAGAGAGAAGAGGAGCCUUGAGACACCGUCACCUGGGAACAACAACCCUCAUUAGGUGCUAUAAGGUCUCCUGGAACAUUGUCUUCUCCGGGUUGAACUCCAGUUCUCUCAGCUUGUCCUAAAAGGAGAGGUGCUCCAGCCUUAUGAUCAUCUUAAGUGACUCUUCUCUGGAAUUGCUCCAGCAGAUCCAUGUCCUUCUUAUGCUGGGGACCCCAAAGCUGAACACCAUACUCCAGGUUUGGAUGGGAAAUAGAAGAAGAUGAGAACACUCGUGGAUCAAGACAGUUUAACAGGGAAAGUAAAAGCUCUGUGUGCAAGCAGAACAAAAAGAGGACUUUAUUUGCUUUUCUCAUCAGCAGUUGUCUAACCAGUUCCAGGGAAGCAGAACCUAAGCACAUGUUGCUUGCACAGAGAAAUAUCAUAAUCAUAGACAUCCACCCUUCCUCUGCACCUCCCUGAGGAUCUAUUGCUGAGUGCUGUGGUAUGGAUCACCUGUCUUGACUCUAUCAGCUCCCAGCCUCAAGCCCCAGCUCCAGCUUAUGUGAAGGAGAAAAGGAAGCAUUUGAAGGAAGAAAGUACUGUUCAGCAAUAGCCAAAACACGGGUGUGUUAUCAGCAGUUUUGGCUACAAAUACAAAGCAAAGCCAUAUAUCUAUGCCAUGUAUCUUCAUACUAGGUAUGAAGAAAUUUUUUUAUUCCUGUCAUUGGUAGUAGUUUUAUAGCACAGCUUCCUGAUUUUUCUCUGCAUUUUCUCCCCAGCAGCCUCUCCAGUUCCCAUCUGAGUCUGUUUCAUUGUCAUUUCAUACGCUAUGUAUCCACCAAGUGAUCCGUGGUUAAAUAACUAAAGUUGACAGUGAUGGACUUCUGAGUUAAGACUGCACUCAGGCUUAAGCAGGACACAGUUCGCAUCGCUGAGUUUUUCAUUUUGGUUGUCUCCAUCAGUAAAACUUUAUUAAUUUCAAAGGUUUAUCUGCAGAAUGAGGACUAAGACUUCUUUUUAGUAACAAAAUGCUGGGUGCUAGAAGAUUUGAAUUUGUCAUGUGCACUUUAAGAAUUUGUGCUGGUUGUACCCUUCACAAAGACUUUAUGUUACAUCUUGUCCUUGAGGGCUUUAGCUUGCAUCCUCUAAGAUCCGAAAUGAAGUCCUAGCCU
Manacus vitellinus (golden-collared manakin) is the source of this 1326-nucleotide long non-coding RNA. RefSeq lists it as uncharacterized. The transcript is spliced from 3 exons. Lineage: Eukaryota; Metazoa; Chordata; Aves; Passeriformes; Pipridae. The record is from RefSeq and is a predicted model, not a curated record.